CUGUAAAGUAGGCUAGAGCUCCUUGUCGGCCAGUUCAAGUUCUUAUUUCAUCCUAUUCCAGUUCAAGUUCUUAUUUCAUCUUAUAUAGAAGAGCAGUGCACAAGUAAGGAUCAUACUCCGUUUGAAGAGCAGGUGGGUAAUCAGGUCAAUCAGGUGAACAAGCUAUGUCUUUACUCAAAUAAUCUAUCCUAGGACCAGGUGAGUAAGUCAAGUAUCUAGUUCCGAUGAAGAAAGGACUUUGCCAGGUAACUCACUGACGCUAGAAAUUGAGACGGAAUCGCUGAGUAGGCAUUCUCUUUGGCUUCGUAUUCUGAUCCAGUAAAUAGCGUUAGCGAUGCGUGCCUCUCUGUCUGUCCUAAUAGUUAGGUUAGUUAAGCGUUCGACUGCCUCAAUUCUCUUCCUAAGAUGGAUAUUAGCUUGCGCCAUUGUGCGUGCUUACGGUUUAGUAUACUCUACAGUUACUGACCCUAUCUUGCCUAUUACCCCCUUGCCUUACCCUCCCGAAAUGCUCUUAUGAUGCAUAUGAACCUAACAUCUUAGACGCCGUGGCCGCCCUUGCUAUAUGGCUAACAUAACUCGUAUUCAAUACUUAUUGCAUCAAAGGCAAUACUUUAUGAUUGGAUUUUUCCGACCUAACCUAGAACUCGCAAUUCUUUCUGCAGAGCUAAUGAUUCCACCUACAUCUUCUUUAGCCCCUGAUUCAAUAUCUCUAUAGGAUUUCCGUCAAGCACCCGAAGAUCAAUCAAUUGAACUGACAACAGCAGAAGAAGCACGGACUCUACUGGGCUAGAUCCAAUCUACUAUACAAGCCUAAGAUUUCCACCCUUAACAGCUAGGUGGUAUUCCUUAUACAAUGCCAG
This 860-nucleotide long non-coding RNA is filed under the name Musa acuminata (dwarf banana). Its description in RNAcentral is "long non-coding RNA (MACU_LNC008805)". The record is from RNAcentral. Lineage: Eukaryota; Viridiplantae; Streptophyta; Magnoliopsida; Zingiberales; Musaceae.